Molecule: ribosomal RNA, 519 nt
Filed under: Bifidobacterium pseudocatenulatum
Lineage: Bacteria; Bacillati; Actinomycetota; Actinomycetes; Bifidobacteriales; Bifidobacteriaceae
Description: bacterial SSU rRNA
Rfam family: Bacterial small subunit ribosomal RNA
Source: RNAcentral
GGGUGGUAAUGCCGGAUGCUCCGACUCCUCGCAUGGGGUGUCGGGAAAGAUUUCAUCGGUAUGGGAUGGGGUCGCGUCCUAUCAGGUAGUCGGCGGGGUAACGGCCCACCGAGCCUACGACGGGUAGCCGGCCUGAGAGGGCGACCGGCCACAUUGGGACUGAGAUACGGCCCAGACUCCUACGGGAGGCAGCAGUGGGGAAUAUUGCACAAUGGGCGCAAGCCUGAUGCAGCGACGCCGCGUGCGGGAUGACGGCCUUCGGGUUGUAAACCGCUUUUGAUCGGGAGCAAGCCUUCGGGUGAGUGUACCUUUCGAAUAAGCACCGGCUAACUACGUGCCAGCAGCCGCGGUAAUACGUAGGGUGCAAGCGUUAUCCGGAAUUAUUGGGCGUAAAGGGCUCGUAGGCGGUUCGUCGCGUCCGGUGUGAAAGUCCAUCGCUUAACGGUGGAUCUGCGCCGGGUACGGGCGGGCUGGAGUGCGGUAGGGGAGACUGGAAUUCCCGGUGUAACGGUGGAAUGU